RNAcentral lists this ribosomal RNA (253 nucleotides) under uncultured bacterium. RNAcentral describes it as "partial 16S ribosomal RNA". It matches the Rfam family "Bacterial small subunit ribosomal RNA", at positions 524 to 776 of the family's 1533-position model. The record is from RNAcentral.
UACAGAGGGUGCGAGCGUUGUUCGGAAUUAUUGGGCGUAAAGGGCGCGUAGGCGGUGCGGUAAGUCACCUGUGAAAUCUCCUGGCUCAACUGGGAGCUUGCAGGCGAAACUGCCGUGCUGGAGUGUGGGAGAGGUGCGUGGAAUUCCUGGUGUAGCGGUGAAAUGCGCAGAUAUCAGGAAGAACACCCGUGGCGAAGGCGGCUCUCUGGAACGCAACUGACGCUGAGACGCGAAAGCGUGGGGAGCAAACAGG